RNAcentral lists this unclassified non-coding RNA (223 nucleotides) under Hevea brasiliensis (rubber tree). Lineage: Eukaryota; Viridiplantae; Streptophyta; Magnoliopsida; Malpighiales; Euphorbiaceae. The record is from RNAcentral.
GAUUCAUACAAGAUUGGAAUUUUGAGACUCAUUUGCCCUAAACUUAUCCUUCAUUUUUAUUUUUUUGGUUGGGGAGGGGGGGUUGGUGGUGGGGUGGGGUAUUUUUAAAGGCAAUUCGCCACUAGCAUAGCUGCUACAAAAAUGUAUCUCUUUUGGUAUGAUAGGAGCAAGAUGCCUGGAAUAGAUCAUGCGUGCAUAAAAAACAAGUCAUCUUAUUGUGGGG